This 214-nucleotide long non-coding RNA is filed under the name Anas platyrhynchos platyrhynchos (common mallard). RNAcentral describes it as "lncRNA (ENSAPLG00000030040.1)". Lineage: Eukaryota; Metazoa; Chordata; Aves; Anseriformes; Anatidae. The record is from RNAcentral.
GACAAGUGUUACUUGGGCAGAUGAACAGCGAGUUGUGAGGGUGGAAGGACUGCAGCAUGGAUGGGGGCUUGCUGUAAUGGAGGGGUAACGGGAUUUUCUUCUGUUGUAUGGUCAAAGGAAACCAGAAAAGUGACUGGUUACGAGCAUGGUAAGCCUGAAGCUGUACUGUGGGACAAGCUGUCUGUAGCAAAAUUAGCAUGAAAUAGGAACUAGC